GCUCUGUAAGCCGUCCGCAAUGCGCUUGUGAUCGAGUCUGGCCAGGAGAUGGAAUGACGUUUUGGACGCGCCGUUACGAGGAUAUGUAGCAGGAGUCACCGAUGACGGGCGCAACGUAAACCACUACCACGUGAUUGUUGCGCUCUGAUACUUACCCGACUGUAAUGCUGCUUGGAUGCGUACGGCAAGUCCACCACGCUUUGUUCCACUCUCCUCUCGCACACCGGGGCCAUGUGCAUCUUGUAUUGUGCAUUACCUGUUCUCUCUCUCUCUCUCUCUGUCCUCGUAGGCUCCGUUUACGUAGGAUAGGGAUUCUUCAUGCAAAGAAUCGUUGCUUUUUUUCUCUCUUGUAGGCGACAGCUCAGCUGUUCUUAGUUUGCUAGUCUGUUUUCUUCUAAAGAAGGCUUUGUUAGAACGCA
Long non-coding RNA from Sycon ciliatum, 419 nucleotides. RefSeq lists it as uncharacterized. The record is from RefSeq and is a predicted model, not a curated record. Lineage: Eukaryota; Metazoa; Porifera; Calcarea; Leucosolenida; Sycettidae. The transcript has 2 exons.